AUGUUUGUGGCAGUAUCGUAGCCAAUGAGGUUUAUCCGAGGCGCGAUUAUUGCUAAUUGAAGUAUACAGGAAACACAGGAGACAAAUGAAAAUGAAAAUGAAACACAACAGUCUAAAUCUUGGGGAUGCAGCAAAAGCUG
Small nuclear RNA from Neogale vison (American mink), 140 nucleotides. RefSeq annotates it as U4 spliceosomal RNA. The transcript has a single exon. The record is from RefSeq and is a predicted model, not a curated record. Lineage: Eukaryota; Metazoa; Chordata; Mammalia; Carnivora; Mustelidae.